CGUAGGGUCCAAGCGUUAUCCGGAAUCACUGGGCGUAAAGCGUGCGUAGGUGGCGCGUUAAGUGAGAUGUUAAAACGUGGGGCUCAACCCUGUCGGUGCAUCUCAUACUGGCGUGCUAGAGGACAGCAGAGGCAAGUGGAAUUAGCAGUGUAGCAGUGAAAUGCGUAGAUAUUGCUAGGAACACCAAUGGCGAAGGCAGCUUGCUGGGCUACCCCUGACACUGAGGUACGAAAGCGUGGGGAGCGAACAGGAUUAGAUACCCUGGUAGUCCACGCCGUAAACGAUGCAUACUAGACGUAUGGGGUAUCGACCCCCUGUGCGUCGAAGCUAACGCGAUAAGUAUGCCGCCUGGGAAGUACGGCCGCAAGGCUA
Molecule: ribosomal RNA, 372 nt
Filed under: uncultured organism
Description: bacterial SSU rRNA
Rfam family: Bacterial small subunit ribosomal RNA
Source: RNAcentral